GCCACCCCAACACACGGCAGGUCUGUAAGGACGCCAAGGUGGCAGGCCACCCCAAAGCCUGCCAGAGAGAAAGGAGGGUGGGGUUGGGGAGGUGGGGCUGGGGCCUGGCACAGGGAUUCAGGACAAGCCAGUCUUACCAAAAGCUUCCCUAAGUGAGCAGAGGUCUGUGGACAGGCAGAGGGCUGGGGAAACCAGAUCUAAGUCCCAAGCAGACCUGGGCGAAAGCCCCCUGUGCCCGAUGUCCUGGGUGCAAGGCCGUGGAGGAAGCCUCCUUCUCUCUGACACGGUCAGUGCCAGGGUCAGCACCUCGCUGGCGUGCUGGGAUACUGCAGCUCUCCGGUCAUUUCCUGCACCUCCCAGCUUCCUCUUCCCUCGACGGUGGCCUGCCAGCGCUGGCACGAGCAUGUGGGUCGGCACAUGACAACCCUUUGGCUCUGCACCCAUGUGCGAGGGCAGCAGCCAGGGCCGAGUCACACUUGCUGGCCAGGAAGGCCCAAUGUCACCCCUCCUGGGCCCUCUCUGGGUGCUGCUGCGCCGCCCGCAGCUCUGUAUGUAACAGUAAAAGAGCCCAUCUCCCUAGGCCGGGCGCGGUGGCUCACGCCUGAAAUCCCAGCACUUUGGGAGGCCGAGGCAGGCGGAUCACGAGGUCAGGAGAUCAAGACCAUCCUGGCUAACACGUGAAACCCCGUCUCUCCUAAAAAUACAAAAAAAUUAGCCGGGCGUGGUGAUGGGCACCUGUAGUCUCAGCUACUCAGGAGGCUGAGGCAGGAGAGUGGCAUGAACCCGGGAGGCGGAGGUUGCAGUGAGCCGAGAUCGCGCCACUGCACUCCAGCCUGGGCGACAGAGCGAGACUCCGUCUCAAAAAAAAAAGAGCCCAUCUCCCUCAGCCACGCUCCCUAGGCCAAGGUUCCUGGCAUCAGUGGGGGCCUGGGUACACCUGUCUAGUUGUGGACAAGGGGCCUGACGGGCCAUGCAGGUUGGGCGGCUGGCAGGGAAGGCCACUCUGAGCCCGGGCCCUGGGACAUCUUUUGGUGAUCAGGUCAGAACUGGAUAGUGGCACCUGGAGAUGAGCCAGCACAGGGCACUGUAGAGAAGGCAGUGGCGGACAGGAAAGAGUGCCCUCCCUGGACCUCCAAGAGCAGGAUUACCUCGGUGGUGGAGUACCCCGUUUCCAUCCACAAGAAGGACCUAUGGAGCCACAGGGAGAGUCACAGUCAGCUGAGCUGCCCCUCGGCCCUCAGGACAGGGCCAUCCCUGAGGCAAGAAGGGGGCACUGUCUCUGGGGUCCAGCUUUUUAGAAAUCCUCAUUCCUCUCUUCCAGGAAGCUCAUGAGUCUCUCCCUGCCACUGUGGUGGUGGCGACCUGCAGCAGCCUUCCCUCCCCCAGGGGGAAGGAGGGACCUUUCUCUCGUCCUAGGGAUGAGACACCUGCCUGGGGCAUGAGGCCCGGCUCCUUCUCCCGCAGCUGCUGCACCAGCUCCAGCAAGAAGGGCACCUCUCGGAAGGCCAGGAAGCCCGACACGUAGGGGGCUGUGAGGCUGACCAUGCGGCUCUCCUCAUACACCACCUGACACCAGGCACGCAGCUCAGUGGGAAGCACAGCCUUCGGCCACCUGCUCCAUCCCCAGUCCGUCCAUGCCCUGCCCCCCUCAUCCUUCCCUCUCCCUUACGUCACCCUCAUGGCUCCCCUUCCCUGCCUCACCUAUGAGAUGAUGGGUUUGGAAGAAGGAACUAGAAGAUGUACCCUGCAAAUUGGUGGUGGGCAGGUACCCCCGGGACCUGGUCCAUAGGAGCAGACCCCCCCAGGACCUGGUCCGUAGCAGCAGCUCCCCCGGGACCUGGUCUGUAGCAACAGCACCCCCACCCCGCCCCCACCGGGACCUGGUCCAUAGCAGCAGCCCCCUGGGACCCGGUCCAUAUGAGAACCCCCACCCCGGACCCGGUCCACUGGAGGAGCCCCAACUCCCAGACCUGAUGUGUAUAGUAGGAGCCCCUGGGACCUGGUCCAUAGGAGGAUUCCCUGGUAUCUGGUCUGUAUGAGGAGCCCCCAGGACCUGGUCCAUAGGAGGAUUCCCCGGGAUCUGGUCUGUAUGAGGAUUCCCCGGGACCCGGUCCAUAGGAAGAUUCCCCGGGAUCUAGUUCAUAGGAUGAGCCCCUGAAGCCUAGACUGUAGAAGGAUUCCCUGGAAUCUAGUCCAUAGGAGGAGCCUCCGGGACCUGGUCCAUAGGAGGAUUCCCUGGGAUCAGGUCCGCGGGAGCCCCCCAGGACCUGGUCUUCAUCAGAAGCAAGGCUAAGGCUGCUGGCUGCAUCACCUCUGCCUGCCCCUUGCUUUCCUGGUGUCUCCUCCUUUGUGUAUUGAAGCCGAUGCCCCACCCCACCCCUCCAUGGGUUGUUGGAGGCUUAAAGAAGACACAGUGUUGGCCAGGCGUGGUGGCUCACGCCUGUAAUCCCAGCACUUUGGGAGGCCGAGGCGGACGAUCACCUGAGGUUGGGAGUUCAAGACCAGCCUGACCAACAUGGAGAAACCCCGUGUUUACUAAAAAUACAAAAUUAUCUGGGCGUGGUGGCGCAUGCCUGUAAUCCCAGCUACUCGGGAGGCUGAGGCAGGAGAACUGCUUGAACCCAGGAGGCAGAGGCUGCAGUUUAGAGCACAACAUGGCAGGCCUGAGUCUCCUAACCUUGUGUUUUCCUUAGUCACACUGCCCUUAAUGUGAAGACGUUUCCCACUAUGUCCACAUUCUGCAGACCUGUCUACCUUCCUGCAGUUUUGUUACUGAAUCCCCCAAAUCUCUUGGUGACAGCUUUCAAAUCACAACUUCCACUCCUCACUUGUGGCUGGAUCAAUAAUUAAACACACCAAAGCAGACGGAGUGCUCUGUAUUAGCACAGAGGGUUGGGGAUCAUUCUCACAACAUCUUCAUCAAUGACUCAAUGGGGAAACUGAUCAAAUCUGCCCAUGACCCAAAGUGGGGAGGGUCCAUUCUGAUAACAGAAUUUGGGUUCACAGAGAAGCCAGCAGGCUGGAUCACUGACAUCCCCACAGAGUAAAAGUCACUUUGCACAGUGACAUGUGGAAUUCAAGUGUGGCCUGAGUUCCCACAGGAGGGGCGUGGCUGCUUACAUCUGAAUCUCUCCCAUAAUGUUAUCAUUCAGGUGACAUUAUGGGAUGACUAUGAUGUGUAAUCAGUAUGAUAAUGACACUGUGGCUGUGGAGGAGAAUGUCAUUCUCAGGACAGGCCUGCUGAUGUCUUCUGAGCUGUCACAGUCGCUGGGAUGUACGGUACACACGCACACAAAGAGCGCAUGUGCGCGAGAGAGAAUAUUCCAGAGCAGCAACAGCUGAACCUAAGUAGAAGGAAUACAGGUGUCCAACGUAUCCUUUUCCAAUUUGGGGGGAUGUAUGUACAUUUUCAAAUUAAAAAUCUGGGAAAAGAAAAAUCACUGUAUGAUUAGCGUAGGGGGCAGGUCUGGAUGACCAGCAAUCUCAACAUAAGCCAGUGACCUGGUGCCCCUCAAAAGCUACCAGUGUUUCCAGCUACACCGACUGAAAUGGCGUGGGUGACAGUUAGGUCUAGGGACUUGGGUAGACCACAUCCAAGUUCCUGCAUUUGAUUCUGAGUGCAGACGGAAAGAUGGAUUGUGUGAACGGAGGGCAUGACCAGAGGGCCACUGACCAGUGAAGAAGCUGGACGUCAUCGCAGCCUCUUGGGACAGUGUGGUCAAGGAGCAGGCAGCUGUUUCCAGCAGCAGAAGGGCUGACAAGCAGAAGGCAGGGAAGAUCCGUUCUGUUUUGCUACCUGAAGGCAGAACUGAUCGAUGGGAGUCACAGACAAGUAGGAGUCAGCUCCCUGCGGAGCAGAACACACUAGCCAUUGCUCAGCGUCCAGCACACAACAGGCUCCACCAGGCCUGUGGAGCAGCACACACCAGCCAUCGCUCAGCAUCUGGCAUGGAAUGGGCUCCGCCAGAGGCCUGCGGAGCAGCACACACCAGCCAUGGCUCAGCAUCUGGCACAGAACGGGCUCCGCCAUCGUUUGUCAGGGAUGCUAAGGACAGUGUUCUUCACGGUGGGAAAAGCAGGCCAGUGGUUCUCCAGCCCAGCUCUGCUUCAGAAUCACAGGAAAGCUUAUUUUAAAAAGCAGAUUCUUAUGCUAUACUCUGGGAGAGUUUUUCCCCCAGUAAGUGGGGUAGGGCUCUGGAAUCUGUUUUUUUUUUUUUUUUUUUGA
This 4225-nucleotide long non-coding RNA is filed under the name Homo sapiens (human). RNAcentral's name for it is "HSALNT0246095". Lineage: Eukaryota; Metazoa; Chordata; Mammalia; Primates; Hominidae. The record is from RNAcentral.